UCAAGCGACUAAGUGCAUGUGGUGGAUGCCUUGGCGAUCACAGGCGAUGAAGGACGCGGCAGUCUGCGAAAAGCCCCGGGGAGCUGACAACGAGCUUUGAUCCGGGGAUCUCCGAAUGAGGGAACUCCAAGCUUUAGCUUGAUCCAUGCGUGAAUACAUAGCGCAUGGAGGCGAACGCGGCGAACUGAAACAUCUCAGUAGCUGCAGGAAAAGAAAUCAACCGAGAUUCCGGAAGUAGCGGCGAGCGAAACCGGAACAGCCUGAAUUCGAUAUUGAGAAGAACACUGGAAGAGUCUGGAAAGGCUCGCCAUAGUGGGUGAUAGCCCCGUACGGGACGUUCAUCUCAAGGUACUGAGGAUUCGAAAAGUAGGUCGGGGCACGUGAAACCCUGGCUGAACAUGGGGGGACCAUCCUCCAAGGCUAAAUACUCGUGAUCGACCGAUAGCGUACUAGUACUGUGAAGGAAAGGUUAAAAGAACCCCGGGAGGGGAGUGAAAUAGAUUCUGAAACCGCAUGCAUACAAACAGUAGGAGCCCUUCGGGGUGACUGCGUACCUUUUGUAUAAUGGGUCAGCGACUUAUGUUAUGUGGCAAGCCUAACCGAUUAGGGGAGGCGCAGCGAAAGCGAGUCCGAACAGGGCGAUUCAGUCGCAUGGCAUAGACCCGAAACCAGAUGAGCUAACCAUGGCCAGGCUGAAGGUGUGGUAACACACACUGGAGGGCCGAACCUACUGGUGUUGCAAAACCAGAGGAUGAGCUGUGGUUAGGGGUGAAAGGCUUAACAAAUCUGGAGAUAGCUGGUUCUCCCCGAAAACUAUUGAGGUAGUGCCUUGCGCAUGAGCUUCUGGGGGUAGAGCACUGUUAUAGCUAGGGGGACAUGGCGUCUUACCAAACUAUGGCAAACUCCGAAUACCAGAAAGCUUCGCGCAGGAGACAGAGCACCGGGUGCUAACGUCCGGACUCAAAAGGGAAUCAACCCAGACCGCCAGCUAAGGUCCCUAAUAUCAGCUAAGUGGAAAACGAAGUGGAAAGGCUAAAACAGUCAGGAAGUUGGCUUAGAAGCAGCCAUCCUUCAAAGAAAGCGUAAUAGCUCACUGAUCGAGUCCUUCCGCGCGGAAGAUGUAACGGGGCUAAGUUGAUAACCGAAGCUGCGGAUUCAUACUUUGAGUAUGAGUGGUAGGGGAGCGUUCUGUAAGCCUGCGAAGGUGGAUCGUAAGGUCUGCUGGAGGUAUCAGAAGUGCGAAUGCUGACAUGAGUAACGAUAAAGCGGGUGAAAAGCCCGCUCGCCGCAAACCCAAGGUUUCCUGCUCUACGUUAAUCGGAGCAGGGUGAGUCGGUUCCUAAGGCCAGGCUGAGAAGCGUAGCUGAUGGAAAUCAGGUUAAUAUUCCUGAACCGGCGUUGAAUGCGAUGGGGUGACGGAGCAGCCAGAGUGGACCGGGUGUUGGAUGUCCCGGCUUCCGAGCGAUGGGUGCCUGCAGGCAAAUCCGCAGGCGUAUACCCAGGACGAAGGAUCGGGUCUUCUUUUGAAGACGAAGCCACUGGAAGCGCUUCCAGGAAAAACCUCUAAGCUUCAGUUCAACGGCGACCGUACCGUAAACCGACACAGGUGGGUGAGCUGAAUAUGCUCAGGCGCUUGAGAGAACUCGGGAGAAGGAACUCGGCAAAUUGACACCGUAACUUCGGAAGAAGGUGUGCCUUUGUAGCUUGACGGGAGAGAAACCCGGAGGGUGAAGAGGUCUCAGAGAAUCGGUGGCUGUAACUGUUUACUAAAAACACAGCGCUCUGCAAAGAUGAAAGUCGACGUAUAGGGCGUGAUGCCUGCCCGGUGCUGGAAGAUUAAUUGAUGGGGUGCAAGCUCCUGAUCGAAGUCCCAGUAAACGGCGGCCGUAACUAUAACGGUCCUAAGGUAGCGAAAUUCCUUGUC
Molecule: ribosomal RNA, 1924 nt
Filed under: human gut metagenome
Description: bacterial LSU rRNA
Rfam family: Bacterial large subunit ribosomal RNA
Source: RNAcentral